GAAGGUAUAGCUCAGUGGUAGAGCUCAUGCUCAGCAUGAACGAAUUCCAGGGUUCAAUCCCCAGCACCUCCU
Molecule: transfer RNA, 72 nt
Filed under: Camelus bactrianus (Bactrian camel)
Lineage: Eukaryota; Metazoa; Chordata; Mammalia; Artiodactyla; Camelidae
Also listed under: 2 other names
Rfam family: tRNA
About the family: Transfer RNA (tRNA) molecules are approximately 80 nucleotides in length. Their secondary structure includes four short double-helical elements and three loops (D, anti-codon, and T loops). Further hydrogen bonds mediate the characteristic L-shaped molecular structure. tRNAs have two regions of fundamental functional importance: the anti-codon, which is responsible for specific mRNA codon recognition, and the 3' end, to which the tRNAs corresponding amino acid is attached (by aminoacyl-tRNA synthetases). tRNAs cope with the degeneracy of the genetic code in two manners: having more than one tRNA (with a specific anti-codon) for a particular amino acid; and 'wobble' base-pairing, i.e. permitting non-standard base-pairing at the 3rd anti-codon position.
Source: Rfam by way of RNAcentral